This 843-nucleotide non-coding RNA is filed under the name Pheidole tristis. Lineage: Eukaryota; Metazoa; Arthropoda; Insecta; Hymenoptera; Formicidae. The record is from RNAcentral.
CAAAUUGGUGCCAAAAACCGCGCAAGAUUUGCUGGCAUAAUGUAACAGCAGCAAGUUUUGUUACAUAUUUGCUGUCAUUUUGCGAACAUCGAUUUAGUUGUCGGAUUUGUCGCCUUUUUGUUGAGAAAAUUUGUUGCAGACGCUUGACGAAAUUUGCUUUUGUCAGAUUUGGCUAACAGGGUAUAUAUAUAUAAUUAAUAAUAAUAAUAAUAAAUUUAGUGCCAGCAAUUGCGGUUAGACUAAGGUUAUAAAUAAAUUUAAUUAUAAUUAAAAAUUAAGUAGUUAUUUAUAAGUAAAAUUUAUUAUAUUAUACUUAUUUUAUAUGGUGAAAUAUUUAAAAUAAAGAUAAUAUAUUUAAAAAUUAUUAAAUGAAAUUUAUGAAAUUAGUUAUAAAAUUAGGAUUAGAUACCCUAUUAUUAUAAUUAAAAAUUAAUUAAUAAAAAAGUAAAUGUGAAACAUUAAAUUUAAAUAGUUUGGCGGUAUUUUAAAUAGUUAGAGGAAUUUGUUAGUUAAAUGAUACUCCACGAGUGGAAUGUCCUAGAAAAUUUUUAUGUAUUGUUGUAUAAAAAUUAUUUUAUAAGAAUUUAUGAUUGAAAAAUUUAAUUUAAUUUGAAUUCAAAUCAAAAUGUAGAAUAUUUAGGUUUAAAUGAAUUACAGUUUAUUUAAGUAAUGGAUUUAUUUUUUGAAUUAAAAUAAGGAAAUAGGAUUUAAAAGUAAAUUUAUAGACAUAUAUAAAUUGAAAUAUAACUUAAAAUAUGUACAAAUUGCCCGUCAUUUUCAUGAAUAGUUAAUUGAAAGAAGUCGUAACAAAGUAAAUGUACAGGAAUGUGUAUUUAGAUUAGU